RNAcentral lists this ribosomal RNA (242 nucleotides) under uncultured bacterium. RNAcentral describes it as "partial 16S ribosomal RNA". It matches the Rfam family "Bacterial small subunit ribosomal RNA", at positions 28 to 262 of the family's 1533-position model. The record is from RNAcentral.
GACGAACGCUGGCGGCGUGCUUAACACAUGCAAGUCGAGCGGUAAGGCCCUUUCGGGGUACGACGAGCGGCGAACGGGUGAGUAACACGUGGGUGGACCUGCCCUUACGCUCUGGGAGUAAGCCUGGGAAACGUAGGGUCGUAAUACCGGAGUAUGACUCCAUGACGCAUGUUGUGGGGUGGGAAAGACCUUGUGCGGCUAGGAGUGGGCCCGCGGCCUAUCAGCUUGUUGGUGGGGUGGAU